RNAcentral lists this ribosomal RNA (490 nucleotides) under uncultured bacterium. Its description in RNAcentral is "partial 16S ribosomal RNA". It matches the Rfam family "Bacterial small subunit ribosomal RNA", at positions 30 to 507 of the family's 1533-position model. The record is from RNAcentral.
AUUGAACGCUGGCGGCAUGCUUUACACAUGCAAGUCGGACGGCAGCACAGAGAAGCUUGCUUCUUGGGUGGCGAGUGGCGCACGGGUGAGUAAUAUAGCGGAACGUACCGAGUAAUGGGGGAUAACUAAUCGAAAGAUUAGCUAAUACCGCAUAUUCUCUGAGGAGGAAAGCAGGGGACCUUCGGGCCUUGCGUUAUUCGAGCGGCCGAUAUCGGAUUAGCUAGUUGGUGGGGUAAAGGCCUACCAAGGCGACGAUCAGUAGCGGGUCUGAGAGGAUGAUCGGCCACACUGGGACUGAGACACGGCCCAGACUCCUACGGGAGGCAGCAGUAGGGAAUUUUGGACAAUGGGCGCAAGCCUGAUCCAGCCAUGCCGCGUGAGUGAAGAAGGCCUUCGGGUUGUAAAGGACUGUUGUCAGGGAAGAACAGGCUGCGGCUAAUACCGACAGAUCAUGACGGUACCUGACGAAUAAGCACCGGCUAACUACGUG